RNAcentral lists this long non-coding RNA (7685 nucleotides) under Physcomitrium patens. RNAcentral describes it as "long non-coding RNA (PPAT_LNC010710)". Lineage: Eukaryota; Viridiplantae; Streptophyta; Bryopsida; Funariales; Funariaceae. The record is from RNAcentral.
GAGAGGAGCUUCAUGCUUCGGGUCGGGGAAGGAAAGACAUAGAAUUUGGAUUUUUUUCUUCGUAGAGUUUUGGGAAGACUGAGGCAAUCGCUGCUGAAGUCAGUAUUGUAAUGGUGAAUCGGGAUUUUCAAUGAAGUGGGUUUGAAUACUCUUGACUGUUUUGUGAAAUUGAGUUACGUCUGUGAUUGAAGGAUUAAAAGGGUGUCUAUAGGAUUGAGUAUGCGGAGUGAAUGAAAUUUAUUGGGUUAAUCUAACAAGACAGUCAGUGGAUACAAGAUCGUAAGUACAAAGCGGUAUUGAAGAUUAAGAGUUUGGGUUGUUCGGGGUUCUCUGUAACGUCUAGAGACCUACCGAUUGGGGCAAAAAGGACUUCGACAAGCAGUCGAAGAGCACCCGUAUAGAUUUACAGUACAUUGUUGCAGUCGUUUAUAUUCCAGCAGUCAAAAACUGAUAGACUCCUUGACUAUCGGCGAAUCUCCAUACUACCUUCUACAGCCAGACGCCCGGCGCGUUCUCGAGCAGGAAAGCAUGUAAUACGACAAAAAGUGGUGAACCCGACGUGAAAGCUUGAGGUGGAAGGUAUUGGAUUUCGGUUGAUUUUAUCUUUAUUUUUAUGGAAAAUGAAAAUAAAAAUUUUGAAGGAUUUUUGGGAGGAGUUUCUGGUGGGGAGUCUUCUAAAGGACAAGGUAUACACAUGGAUCCGUCUAUUGCUAGUUUGUUUCAAGCCUUCUCAUUGUCAAUGCAGCAACAGUAAAGUAAUGAUUGAAAGGAAGCUUUGGCAACCAAAGCAUUGCAAGCAGUGGUCAAUAAAAUUGAUCAAUUUGAUGGGAGGAAUAUUUCAAGGUAUUUAAGAUGUUAUGUUCGUGAAAUGGAAUUAAAUCGGGUUUCUGAGAAGAAAAUGGUUGCACUAUUUGGACUUGCCACGAUACCAGAGAUAAGGGACCACAUUACAUCGAUUACGGAUCGUUAUGGGAAUUCAUAGGAGGAUUUUUUACAUGCAUUGAAAGACGAAUAUUUCUUGGAAGAUGCUGAUCGCGUUAAUAAGAAGUUGUUUCUGGGAUGGAUUGAACGGCCCAAUAAGAAUUUGCAAGCAACAGAGCUACUAAGGGAAUUUGAGAGGUAGUACUCUCAAUUAUCAAAGGUAGAAAAAUUGACAUUGGAGCCGAACAAAGUUGAACUAUUUCUUCAAGCUGCUGAUGGAGAAUUGCAAGAGAAAUUAGAACCCCUUCUUGAAGACAAAGAAGAAGAUGAAGGAUUGACAACGAAGUGGAAGAACGUUGAAGAUGCGGUGGGGUUGGUUACAAAAAAAGAAAGGAGGAAGGAUAGGAGCAAUAUCUCGAAAACAGUACAAGCACCCAAAGCUCAAGUACGUACAAUACCACCAACAAUGCCUACAGUUCAACCUUCGACAUCCUUGUCAAAGAAAGCAGAUAUGGGUAUGGAAGAAAUUAUACGAGGAAUGCGAGAUCUUCAAAUCAAAUUGGCAAGACUUGAAGAGAAUACUUCUAUAAACAAUUCGAAGAAUGUUUCAAAACAAGGAUAUGUACAAAGAUGCAUUUGGUGUGAUGAUGCUUCACACACUAAAAAAGAUUGCAAUGAAUUUAAUAAUAUGAUACGACAGGGAAUUAUUUGCUGGAAAGAUGGGAAGAUAGCAUUGAAAGAUAGGAAGGAUCUUCUUCAAACCAAUUUUGGCAAGGGAAGAAUGAGAGCAUUGGUUCAAGAUUACUUAAAAGGGCAUGAAACAGUAGCACGAGAAAGUGCAAGUUAUGGUGCUAGAGUAGAUGAUGAAAUUGGUGGAAGUACGGAAACUAGUGAGUUUUGGGCUUCUGCCGUUUCUACAAUGCAAGAAAGAAAAUUACCUCGAGAAGCGUUAUUGAGAACUGCAGCUACAAUACGAGGUAGAACAGGUUGGGAGGAUCCUGUUGAGUCUCUUCCAGUUCAUGCAUAUAUUGCUAAGAGCCAACAUGAAGCUUUGAUGGAAGAAAAAAGACGAGGAAAUUUUGAUGAUACUAGAGAAGGAAAUUCUUUUAAGAGGCAAACUCGAGGAGACAAGGCUCGGGAGGCAGCUUCACAAGAAUUGCCUAUAAAGGAUACCUCAGCAUCAUUGGGAGAAAAAACAAUGGAGACAAAAGAUAAGGGCAAAUCAAUUGCUUAUAAGCUACUUUUUGACAUUGAAGCGGCAACAAAUUUGAAAGGGGUGUUGGAAGAACGUAUAUUAAAUGCUAAGGUGGAAUUCACAUUGAAAGAAGUCUUGGGAAUUGCAAAGGAGUUUCAUGAUGUCAUCAUUGACAGCAUUAAGCGAAAGAGGCAAUUAAUGGGCGAAACUGGAAUGAGUCAUGCUAUUGAUGCAAGAAUAUGUAGAGAUGAAGAAGAGGUUGAUAUUGGUUAUAAGCAACCAACAAAUGAAAAGAAUGGAUAUAAUCAACGAGUACGUUUCGAAGAUUCUAGUGACAAGGAAAUGGAAACUUUGAGCCAUUAUACUCGAAAGCUUUGGGCAAGGGCAACUACUGAGGUAUUGGUGAAGGUAGGAGAUAUAGAAGAACCAAUAGUUGCUUUGGUCGACCAUGGUUCUGAAAUAAAUCUCAUGUCUAAAGAUCUUUAUAAGAAGCAAAAAUGGCCAAUUGAUAUGGAACAUGGAUGGGCAAUACGAGCAGCUAAUAACACACGGGGCGAAUUAUAUGGAGCUUGUCCAGAUGUCAAAAUUCGGAUUGGGGAUGUUGCGACGGAGCAACAUUUCUUCGUUCAAGAUACAACGUCUUAUCCGGUUAUUUUAGGACAACCUUAUAUCACGGCAACACGGAUGGAAACAAAAGUACUUGACGAUGGUUCUGCUUAUGCAAGGGUACGGAGCGAAGAUGGGAGGAAAGCUGUACAAUUUCUAACAGUACCUCCUAACCAUGAACGGAAUCGAGAUAGGUUGAGGGAGAAACCAUUGCCAAAGAUUGUUGAAGGAUUUAAGGAUUUUGGAGAGGUACCACUGUAAAGCGAGAUUAUUGAGUUACAAAAGAGGAGGUACUCUCGCGAGAUGAAGGUGCCUUUGAUGCGAGUUUUAUUGGUAUAUUGGAGGAUGGAAAUAUUAUGUAUAAGGGAGUUGAUGAUUUUAAAAGAAAAGAAAGAAAAAGAUUAUAUAAUAUUGAAGGACAAUUACGCAAGAUAGGUACAUUGCAAGAUGAUGAGAGGAUUUUUGGUGUUUAUGAAGAAAAUGGACUGGAAGAUUCAUUGGAAUUGAUUACAUCUAUUGGGUUAGUGGAUAAUGAUAAGAUUGUUGAGAUUCAUUCGAGAGAGGUUUAUACCAUGCUUGAAUCUUUUCAAGCACAAGAAGUCAUAGUAGAGACGAGAUAUAAAAUGGCAGAUAAGAAGGUAAAGCCUGUUGCCGGACCAUUACCAGAGGAUUCUAAAGAACAAAUGGGAGAAGCAUCAAAAGAAGCAAGUUUAAGAGAUCCAAUGAGUAUUGGACAUCAGUUUACUGAAGAGACUUUUGAAGAAUUGAAGAUUAGUUCUGAUGGUUCUUUAUUGCCGGAGGAAAUUACUUGCUUCAAAAAGAUGUUGGCUAAAUAAGGUAGAUCGUUUGCCUUCGAAUCUCAUGAAAUUGGGUGUGUGGAUCCAAAUAUUAUAACACCUAUGGUUAUCUUCACUGUACCACAUGUACCUUGGAAUCUAAGACCGAUUCCAGUACCGAGGGCAUAUUUACCUAAAUUGAUGGAACUAUUGAAAGAAAAGAUAAAGAUGAAAUUAUUGGAACCUUCAUUUGCACCGUAUUCUAGUCGAUGGUUUACAGUACCUAAGAAGAAUGGGUCACUACGGUUUAUUCAAGAUAUGCAGCCGGUGAAUGCAGUAACUGUGAGAAAUGCAGGAAUUGGACCUAUUGUGGAUGAAUUUGCUGAGGCGUUUGCUGGAAGGGCGAUCUAUUCAAUGGGUGAUUUUUAUUCAGGUUAUGAUCAAUUUCAACUUGCCGAAGGAAGUAGAGAUAUGACAAUGAUGAGGACACCGCUUGGAUUGGUUAGAAUGUGCACUCUUCCUCAAGGCGCGACCAACUCAGUUGCGCAUAUGAUGAAUGGGAUGAAUAAGGUAUUGAGAGAUUUUAUUCCAAAAAAGACUAUGCCUUUUCUGAAUGAUGUUCCUAUAAAAGGGUGCAGAGAAGGAGACAAGGAUGAAACUUUAGAUACGAGGGGAUGUCGCAGAUAUGUUGUUGAUCAUAUACAAGAUUGUGAAAAGAUUUUAACUCGGCUUGGAGAAGUUCAUCUUACAUUAUCGGGUAUGAAGUCCGUAUUUGGAAUACGAGAGGUUGUGAUUGUUGGACAUUUAUGUGGAUUUUACGGAAGAAAACCAGAUCCGACUAAAAUUGAUGCAAUUGGAAGGAUGAAAGAGGAUUGUGAUUCUUUAAUAGAAGUUCGUAGGUUUUUAGGUACAUGUGUAUUUUAUCGAAUCUAGAUCCCUCAUUAUGCUUACAUAGCGGAUCCAUUAUAUGAACUGUUACGCAAGGGUUACCGUUUUAAAUGGAAAAAAAGGCAUAUUCAGGCAAUGCAAAGAUUGAAGAAAUUAUUGAUGUGACUACCAAUAUUGAGGAAGGUUGAUUAUAAGUGCAAUAGACCAGUGAUUCUUACUGUAGACGCUAGUCCAAUUGCCGUUGGAUGGGCUGUGGGUCAAGAUGAUUCACAUGGGAGUAGAUUUGCAGUUCGAUUUGGGGCUAAAGUUUUAAGUAUUCAUCACCGUGCAUAUUCACAAGUCAAAAGAGAACUUUGAGGAGUCGUUUCGGCUAUGAAAGCUGAAAAGGACUACUUGAUUGGGGCAGUAGUAGUAAUUGAAACAGAUUGCUUGCCAUUGCUUGAAAUGAUUAUUAACUGUUCAACGCCAGAUAUUGCAAUGUUGAGAUGGAUUGCUUAUAUUAAGUCACUAAAUCUAGAAUUUAAGCAUAUCACUGGGAAGGACAAUUUAGUAGCAGACAUGCUAUUUUGAGUAAGAUACGAGAGGGAGGACGAAAUGGUUGAAGACAUUGAUGAUGUUGGAUUGAAAUUCUAUUCAAUAUCAAAUCUCAACAAAGAAGACAAGCUAUUUCUUGAAGAAUCUUAUGAAGGAGAAUUAUUGGAUAUUGGUCAUUAUUUGAAUACCUUGACUAAGCAGGGGAAUUGGUCUACAGAAAAAUUCAAACAAAUAAGAAAAAAAGCAUAUGGAUUUUUACUUCGAGAUGGAUUCUUAUGGAAGAGACCGAAGAAAGGAAUUGGGAUGCCACAACGAGUGAUAGGCAAAAGGGAAGAAAAACUAAAAUUAUUAAAGGAGUUUCAUGAUAGUUUAUGGGCAGGGCAUAGAGGAAUCUGGGCUACUUUUGCUAAACUCAAGGAACGAUAUUGGUGGAAAAAUAUGUAUCGAGAUGUGCUCUCAUUUGUAGAGUCAUGUGAAAUCUGUCAAUCGUAUUCUAAUAUCCGACAUCGAGAUGGUCUUCAUCCUACGUAUUCUCUGGCUAUUCAUUUUAAAUGGGUUGUUGAUUUGGUUAUUAUGCCGGUUGGGUUAUGGCAGAUGAGAUAUUUGGUUUUAGCUCGUGAAGAUUUAUCAAAUCAAGUAGAAGGAAGAGCAUUGAGGACAAAAUCUACAAAGGGAAUUUGUAGGUUUUUGCUUGAAGAUGUCAUUUGCCGUUACGGGUGCGUAGGAAAAAUUACUACAGAUCAUGGAGAAUUAAAUGCACAAGAAGCUCGUAAAUUCUUUGAAAGAUGUAGAGUUAAACUAUCACUGACUACUGCUUAUAAUCCAGAAGGGAAUGCAAAAAGCGAACGUGGUCACCCACCGAUUGUGAAAGCAUUGAUGAAAGCUUGUAAUGGGAAAGUUAAAGAGUGGCUACGGCUUUUGUCAUUUGCAUUAUGGGCUGAUCGAACAACACAUAUCUCGGUGACAGGAUAUAUGCCAGUAGAACUUAUGACAAGUCAAAAACCAAUUAUGCCGAUUGAAGAAAAGGUACUUACUUGGAGUAUGCUACUAUGGGAAGAUGGAUUGACAAGAAAAGAACUUCUGGCUAUUAGGAUUCGACAAUUGGAGCAAAGAAUGGAAGAUGUCCACAUAGCAUUGGGAAGGUUAAAAAGAGCAAGGUUACAAAACAAGGCGCGAUUCGAUAAGCAACAUCAAUUGAGACCAAAAGCAGUCGAGGAAGGUCACUGGGUAUUUGUUUAUGACAAUAGUCUGGAUAAUCAACAUAGUACUUUGCGGAAAUUCUCAAAACAUUGGUUUGGACCAUAUGUGGUAACAACUGUUCAUGAUAAUGCGACUUACUCAUUACGGGAGUUAGAUGGUACAAAAUUGAAAAUACCAAUUGCAGAGAAGCGAGUAAAAAUAUUUAAACAAAGACACGCAGAGAUGAAUAUGGAAGACCUUAAUGAAGGUAUAGAGAUUCCGCAGCAAGAAGAUGAAAGUGAUUUGGAUAAUGAAGGUGACGAAGACGAACAUGACAAAGACGUAGAGGAUAUAUACUGAAUCAAACAGCAAUUGGAUAAAUUGGUGCAUACCGGAGGAUGCACAAGUUCAGAGGGGGUGGAUGUCGUAUUGUAACACGAGUAUACAGUGAAAAUAAAAAGAAAGGGGAAUUUUAUUAAUAUUCAGUUACCUCGAAUAUUGGGAGCAUCGACCAACUCCAGUGCAAAUAUUGAGUGGUCAGAUUCAGUCGCUCCGUUACAGUCAGCCGGGGCAUACUGAAAUGCUCCAUUCGAUUCCAAUAACGGGAGUGAGCAGGAAGAGAAGGGCCAAUUUACAUGACGGGUUCGAAGAACCAAUUGGAUCCAAUUUCGAUAAUCCAAUCCGGGUCCUCUUAUCCAAUAUGAGACCUGAAUUGGCCGGUCAACCCAAUGCAGUCUAAUUACGGGAAAUCUAGGUCUUACUACAGGUCUUAGCCAAUCUGACGCGAGGACCAAUUUGACCCAAUUAUGCAAACAUCUAGGUUACUACGGGCAUCUUUCCCAAUAUGGGACCUGAAUUGGUCGGGCGACUUAAUAUGGACCUGAGUACGGGGUUUCGAUUUUGUUUCAGGCUGUCCUGUUCUCUGUGCCAUUUCAGGGAACGUUGUUUGCAGUAAAUGGAUCUCUUAAAGGUAAAAACGGAGGAGAAGGCCUUGAUGACGUGAACCAAUUUCGGAUCUAAGCUCUGACGGCGGGAGCCAAUUUCGGAUCCAAGACGGAAGAUUGAAGGAAUUCAAGAGGAUAAGGUUAGGGGGAGAAUAAGUUUGAAGGGAGAAUCGGGGGAGCGGCAGAAAGCUUUUGCAAGGUUACUAGUUCGGUUUUCAUUGGAGGUUUUUUGGAGAUCAAGGGAAUUAGAGAGAGGAGCUUCAUGCUUCGGGUCGGGGAAGGAAAGACAUAGAAUUUGGAUUUUUUUCUUCGUAGAGUUUUGGGAAGACUGAGGCAAUCGCUGCUGAAGUCAGUAUUGUAAUGGUGAAUCGAGAUUUUCAAUGAAGUGGGUUUGAAUACUCUUGACUGUUUUGUGAAAUUGAGUUACGUCUGUGAUUGAAGGAUUAAAAAGGUGUCUAUAGGAUUGAGUAUGCGGAGUGAAUGAAAUUUAUUGGGUUAAUCUAACAAGACAGUCAGUGGAUACAAGAUCGUAAGUACAAAGCGGUAUUGAAGAUUAAGAGUUUGGGUUGUUCGGGGUUCUCUGUAACGUCUAGAGACCUACCGACUGGGACAAAAAGGACUUCGACAAGCAGUCGAAGAGCA